CGCACCUUGCGCUCCUUGGUAUUCCUCGGAGCAUGCCUGUUUGAGUAUCAUGAAAUUCUCAAGAUAAAUCUUUUGUUCAUUCAAUUGGUUUCAUUUUGGACUUGGAGGUCUGCAGAUUCACGUCUUGCUCCUCUUAAAUUCAUUAGCUGGAUCUCUAUAAACUUGGUUCCACUCGGUCGUGAUAAGUAUCACUCGCUGAGGACACUGUAAAAGGUGGCCAGGAUCGUGGAAGAACUGCUUCUAAUAGUCCAUUCGCUUGGACAAUAUACUUAUGAUCUGAUCUCAAAUCAGGUAGGACUACCCGCUGAACUUAA
RNAcentral lists this ribosomal RNA (314 nucleotides) under uncultured Ceratobasidiaceae. RNAcentral describes it as "eukaryotic LSU rRNA". The record is from RNAcentral. Lineage: Eukaryota; Fungi; Basidiomycota; Agaricomycetes; Cantharellales; Ceratobasidiaceae.